Triticum aestivum (bread wheat) is the source of this 116-nucleotide non-coding RNA. The record is from Rfam. Lineage: Eukaryota; Viridiplantae; Streptophyta; Magnoliopsida; Poales; Poaceae.
CUUCUACUCCCUCCGUCCGAAAAUACUUGUCGAAAAAAUAAAUGAAAAUGGAUGUAUCUAUAACUAAAAUACGUCUAGAUUCUCCGACAAGUAUUUCCGGACGGAGGGAGUACCAU